RNAcentral lists this long non-coding RNA (1047 nucleotides) under Coturnix japonica (Japanese quail). Its description in RNAcentral is "lncRNA (ENSCJPG00005012133.1)". The record is from RNAcentral. Lineage: Eukaryota; Metazoa; Chordata; Aves; Galliformes; Phasianidae.
CCUUAGAUCUUUGCUGCUUCUCUGUUUGCUUCCUUGAGCCCAGCUCUCAUCUCCCUACCCGUUUCCCUUUUCCCUUCCCAUUUGUCAGGGGCUUGGGUCCCACGGGCCUACUUCCCCCCCUGUCAUGGACAUAGAUUGAUACACAUAACUCUGUGACAGCAUAUUACAUUAUGCAAACAAUAAUUUUAAAAGCUAGUAUCAUUUGAUUGAUUAACCUUAAUAAUACAGUAUGAAGCUGUUGCCAGUAGACUAAGCCCAACUCCUUUAGUUUCAGAAUAAAUCCAAAGUUUGGAUUCAGGAAGGAAAUGGGACAAAUGUAGCCAAAGCAAAAUACACAGGGCCAGAAUCCGCUACCUCAGAAAAGAAUCCACCAAAGUCAACAUUAUGAGCAAGGACUGUUUUGAAAAAGUAGUAAUCGUGGCCAUUUUUUACUAACAUAUUUCAGCUAAAUACCUCUUCCUCUCUUUAUUCAUCACUGGAAGUUCAGAAUCACACCACCUCCUGUUGCAUCCUAUUUGGAAGAAGCUGGGGUCCCACUAGGAGGAUGCAAGCAAGCCUUCUUGACUGAUGACACUACAUAAAUCCUACUCCUCUCAAGACAUCUCUGAAAUUUAUUCAUUUUCCCAGGUGGAAACAAAGUCCAGGUGCUCAAGCCUGCUCCACAUAAGAGGUGACAGAUUGUUCUGUGCAAAGUUAAUUGAAAAAAUGCUACAUAGCUGCAGCAAAAGGAUUAGCAAUGUCAGAAAACAUCUAGGGUGAGUGAAUGAAGUGUCUUAUAUCUACAAAAGCAAACAAACAAACAAAACCCAACAAAUAAGCUAAGUUUCUUAAAGGUCUUUAUAGAAAUAAGAAAGAUUAUUCCCCAGGUACAGCACUAGGGCCUUUUCUAUUACUGAAUACUAAAAUCUGGUUGGCUGUGACAUUGAACUAGAGGAACAUAUAUUUUGCUGUACAGUUGGCUUUCUGAUGCCUAGCAGUUUAUGAUUUAUCAUAUUGCUCAUGAUUACAUCCCUGCCUAACCAGGAAUAAAAUUCUCUGUGGAGUUCA